UACGUAGGGAGCAAGCGUUGUCCGGAAUCAUUGGGCGUAAAGAGCGUGUGGGCGGCCCGGUAAGUCGGUUGUGAAAGUCAAGGGCUCAACCCUUGAAAGCCGACCGAUACUGCCGGGCUAGAAUCCGGAAGAGGCGAGUGGAAUUCCUGGUGUAGCGGUGAAAUGCGCAGAUAUCAGGAGGAACACCAAUGGCGAAGGCAGCUCGCUGGGACGGUAUUGACGCUGAGACGCGAAAGCGUGGGGAGCAAACAGG
This 253-nucleotide ribosomal RNA is filed under the name uncultured bacterium. RNAcentral's name for it is "partial 16S ribosomal RNA". It matches the Rfam family "Bacterial small subunit ribosomal RNA", at positions 524 to 776 of the family's 1533-position model. The record is from RNAcentral.